CCUACGGGCGGCUGCAGUGGGGAAUAUUGGACAAUGGGCGAAAGCCUGAUCCAGCCAUGCCGCGUGUGUGAAGAAGGCCUUCGGGUUGUAAAGCACUUUCAGUGGGGAAGAAAGCCUUGGGGCUAAUACCCUCGAGGAAGGACAUCACCCACAGAAGAAGCACCGGCUAACUCCGUGCCAGCAGCCGCGGUAAUACGGAGGGUGCGAGCGUUAAUCGGAAUUACGGGGCGUAAAGCGCGCGUAGGCGGUCUGAUAAGCCGGUUGUGAAAGCCCCGGGCUCAACCUGGGAACGGCAUCCGGAACUGUCAGGCUAGAGUGCAGGAGAGGAAGGUAGAAUUCCCGGUGUAGCGGUGAAAUGCGUAGAGAUCGGGAGGAAUACCAGUGGCGAAGGCGGCCUUCUGGACUGACACUGACGCUGAGGUGCGAAAGCGUGGGUAGCAAACAGGAUUAGAUACCCUUGUAGUC
This 465-nucleotide ribosomal RNA is filed under the name Vreelandella stevensii. Its description in RNAcentral is "partial 16S ribosomal RNA". It matches the Rfam family "Bacterial small subunit ribosomal RNA", at positions 338 to 795 of the family's 1533-position model. The record is from RNAcentral. Lineage: Bacteria; Pseudomonadati; Pseudomonadota; Gammaproteobacteria; Oceanospirillales; Halomonadaceae.